RNAcentral lists this ribosomal RNA (488 nucleotides) under uncultured bacterium. RNAcentral's name for it is "partial 16S ribosomal RNA". It matches the Rfam family "Bacterial small subunit ribosomal RNA", at positions 30 to 507 of the family's 1533-position model. The record is from RNAcentral.
AUUGAACGCUGGCGGCAGGCCUAACACAUGCAAGUCGAACGGUAGCACAGAGAGCUUGCUCUCGGGUGACGAGUGGCGGACGGGUGAGUAAUGUCUGGGAAACUGCCCGAUGGGGGGGGAUAACUACUGGAAACGGUAGCUAAUACCGCAUAAUGUCGCAAGACCAAAGAGGGGGACCUUCGGGCCUCUUGCCAUCGGAUGUGCCCAGAUGGGAUUAGCUUGUUGGUGAGGUAAUGGCUCACCAAGGCUACGAUCCCUAGCUGGUCUGAGAGGAUGACCAGCCACACUGGAACUGAGACACGGUCCAGACUCCUACGGGAGGCAGCAGUGGGGAAUAUUGCGCAAUGGGCGCAAGCCUGAUGCAGCCAUGCCGCGUGUGUGAAGAAGGCCUUCGGGUUGUAAAGCACUUUCAGCGGGGAGGAAGGCAAUGCGGUUAAUAACCGUGUUGAUUGACGUUACCCGCAGAAGAAGCACCGGCUAACUCCGUG